Molecule: ribosomal RNA, 253 nt
Filed under: uncultured bacterium
Lineage: Bacteria
Description: partial 16S ribosomal RNA
Rfam family: Bacterial small subunit ribosomal RNA
Source: RNAcentral
UACAGAGGUCCCAAGCGUUGUUCGGAUUCAUUGGACGUAAAGGGUGCGUAGGUGGCGCCGUAAGUCGGGUGUGAAAUUUCGGAGCUUAACUCCGAAACUGCAUUCGAUACUGCGGUGCUUGAGGACUGGAGAGGAGACUGGAAUUCAUGGUGUAGCAGUGAAAUGCGUAGAGAUCAUGAGGAAGACCAGUGGCGAAGGCGGGUCUCUGGACAGUUCCUGACACUGAGGCACGAAGGCCAGGGGAGCAAACGGG